Long non-coding RNA from Momordica charantia (bitter melon), 335 nucleotides. RefSeq lists it as uncharacterized. The record is from RefSeq and is a predicted model, not a curated record. NCBI's taxonomy places the organism in Eukaryota, Viridiplantae, Streptophyta, Magnoliopsida, Cucurbitales, Cucurbitaceae.
AGUCUAAGCUCAGCGAGCUCCCCAAAGACAAAACAGACAGCAAAAGAACCGCAACCACAGGAAGGAAGCCCAUUACCCCUACAAAUAUAGGGAAAUGCAAGGUGCUAGAAGAGUUACAAAACAAAGCUGUGACAUGAUAGCGGCCCCCAAACUUUGAACAUCAGUGCAAAUAAUGGAGAAGUGAUUUUGAAGCAAUCCCAAUUCCUAAUCCAACAACAUGCACGACACUGGCUGCUGUUGCUCUUUGAACCUUCAGCUUUUGGACUUGGGCGUGGGACAAAAUCAUGCAAAAUUUUGGUAAUACAAAUUACAAAGAGACGGGGCUUUCUUCAUUU